This 477-nucleotide ribosomal RNA is filed under the name Sphingopyxis macrogoltabida. RNAcentral's name for it is "bacterial SSU rRNA". It matches the Rfam family "Bacterial small subunit ribosomal RNA", at positions 45 to 568 of the family's 1533-position model. Lineage: Bacteria; Pseudomonadati; Pseudomonadota; Alphaproteobacteria; Sphingomonadales; Sphingopyxidaceae. The record is from RNAcentral.
UGCCUAACACAUGCAAGUCGAACGAAGUCUUCGGACUUAGUGGCGCACGGGUGCGUAACGCGUGGGAAUCUGCCCUUGGGUACGGAAUAACUCAGAGAAAUUUGUGCUAAUACCGUAUAAUGACUUCGGUCCAAAGAUUUAUCGCCCAAGGAUGAGCCCGCGUAAGAUUAGCUAGUUGGUGGGGUAAAAGCCUACCAAGGCGACGAUCUUUAGCUGGUCUGAGAGGAUGAUCAGCCACACUGGGACUGAGACACGGCCCAGACUCCUACGGGAGGCAGCAGUGGGGAAUAUUGGACAAUGGGCGAAAGCCUGAUCCAGCAAUGCCGCGUGAGUGAUGAAGGCCCUAGGGUUGUAAAGCUCUUUUACCCGGGAUGAUAAUGACAGUACCGGGAGAAUAAGCUCCGGCUAACUCCGUGCCAGCAGCCGCGGUAAUACGGAGGGAGCUAGCGUUGUUCGGAAUUACUGGGCGUAAAGCGC